AAAUUCACACAUUCCUCUUCUUCCCCAAAAAUUUUAGAUUUCCCUCUCAUAUUCACAAACAAUUGGAAAUUUAUCUCUCAUAAUCGAUCGUAUCCUCCGCUCAAUUCCCAUCCCCCAUCUUCCGACCAGACUGUCAUCUCCUCAAAUCGAUUCCCGCCACUGCCUCACUAAUUAAUCACGGAUGAGCUACCGACGAUCCACCACUUCACCACCAGAAAAUCAUCAUCGAUGCUCGAUUCCUUGACGCUAAACUUGUCAUCGCUUCAAUCCUCACUACAGCCCUCGACAGUCCAUCUCCAGAUCUCGUGUAGUUAAAAGAUAAGUUUUCUCAUAUGCCUAAUUUCUGUUUGUUUAUAAAACACCGACUAGGAAUGGAGUUGCUAGUAUUGAAAUCCUAAAGUGGACAUGACUAGACGGGUCAUGAUCGUGGGUUCAACCCGAACCCGAUAAUCGUAUCAUACAUAUGAACCCGAACACGAUCCGAAGUUUCGUGGGUAACCCGAACAAGACCCGUUAAACCCGAAAUCUUUUAAUUUUUGUCUGAAAUUAAUAUAUUAAAAUUAGAAUUUACUUAAAAACACAAAUGCUCGAAAAUCGAAAUGCCCAAUUAACUUCAAUAUGCCUUCAGCAACAUAUCUUGAAAAAACUCAGUCUUGAUUGAAAACUUAUUCCUUAUUAGUUAUAAAUUAAUCAAAUGCUACAUAAGUUCCUUACUUAAGAACUUCUUAGUGAUUUGGUGGUCUAUCAGUAACUUGCUAAAGUUACUCAUUGGAUGUUUAAAUGUCAAAUAGAAACCAAAUGUAUGAAUUAGGUUUAUAACAAUAAAAGUUUGGAACGGGCCCCAAAGUUUAACUUCAUUUUGGGGCUCCAAAAUGGUUGAGCCACCCCUGAUUUUAAUGAAUUACAAUUGAUUAUCUUGAUCGUGAUUAUUAGUGUUGCAUAAUGAGUUUAAAGCACACAACCAAACACCUUCUAUAUUUCAUCAACUUUUGUCCAAAAUUCAAUCUUUGCUGACAUAUUGUUGGGGGAUCAAUGGAAGUUCUGAUAAGAUGUUUUUAUAGACUGAAAACCGCAACAAGGUAAAUCAUUAUUUAUGAACUCUUGUUUCUUUUAAUUUCAUUGAUAAAUUUGUCGACUGUUGUUUUCAAGGGGGUCAUCUUUUGCUGAAAUAUUAUUAUAUGUUUAAACUUUGGGGCAACCACAGGUCUCAUUGACCUGUUUCUUAAAAGUUGUUAUCUACAUAAGGUUGGUUUAGUCAUAUUUGAUACCUUUCAGAGGUUAAUAAUUAAAUUUAGUGUAAUUUAUGUUUUAAUACUUAUCUGUGUAACGGUAUUAUUAUUUAGAUUAUCAUAUUUUGAUAGGGAAUAAACAAAUUAUCAAAAGGUUUUAGCUAGAUUGGAUUACGAAAGAGAAUAAGGAAGAACAAGUGAAUAGAUUUUAUUGCAGUGGAAUUAUAAUAGUACUGAAAGGAAAUUACAAAUAACCAGGGUUACACCCUCUCUCCAGGAGCCACUAAGUCAUAAAAAAUCUAAGAGCAUUAUUCCCUACUACUUAUACUCUCUCACCUCUAACAAACUCUCAAUCACAUUUAGAAAGUACCCCUUUACCCCUUCUAGAAAUAACUCUGGCUUUGCUUUAGAAAUAGUUACGGUAUCAACCGUAUUAGAUUAAUUACAUACUCGAUCAAUGGUUGUACUUACCUAAACUUUACGUGUAAUGACUUUGUGCAUCUAAAGGUGAGGUGGGUGCUAAUUACUUCUUUUUUAAAUUAUUUACCUUUAUAAACUUCCAGAAAAAUGCAGGUAAUCUUUGUUUCUAUUUGUUAAUUUUUGUCGCAGGUGGAUUUCUUCAUGUCAAGCAAUAUUAUUUUUUUUUUCUCACUUGUUAUCUACUUGCUAAGAAAGGGGUCUAUAAAAACUUGUUAUCCUUUAGUAAGGUAUUUAGUUUCUUAAACUUAAAUGUAUAGGUGGGAAUUGCAAUUCGUUUGUAGGUAAACGAGUUAGUUUGGUUAUAUACAUAUUUACUAUUAACGGGUUAAAUGGGUAACCUAAUAAAAAAAGUUGUACUUGAAUUAGGUUAACCCUUAAAAGGGUUGAGGCCACUCGAUGAUUAAUUGCUAUGCAUUAAAUCACGUUCUCAAAUUUUUGACAUCCAUGUGAUAAUAUAACUUAUACAUGGUGUUAAAAACAUCAGUUCAUAAAUUUCUGGACAAGAAAAUACAAAGAGUGUUUGCGUGUUGGCUUAACCCACCGGCACUAGAAAUCUACACAUUAUGACUUGAGUCAUUGACUAUCAACCCAACCUAACUGACCACCUAUCUUUCCUCAGUAUUGGUACCGAUUUUGUUCGAUCGGAAUCUGAAGAACAAUUAUUUUGCCAGCUAUAGGAAAUCGAUCGGAAUCUGAAGAACUAUUAUUUUACCAGCUAUAGGAAAGUAAACUAUGAAAGUAUAUAUUUUUCAUAUAUGAUUUAUGAAGUUUUGUUAAAAACAUCUGAAGGGUGUCCAAAACAUGGACGUGCUUAUAUAUAUAUUUUUACAAUCUUCAGUAUAUAAAAUAUACUGUUAUAAUACUAAUACUUGUUUAUAUGGUUGAUGAUGGCAGGGUAGAUAUCAUGCAGCAACUUUGAGCUAAGUUUUUUGAAGUUCUCACCCAAAAGAACAUGUAGACUCCUCAUGUAAAUAGUUAGAAUUUGGAAUUUGUUACUUAUUACACAAUGUUUUGCUAACAUUUGCAAUAUGUUUCGGAUCAAACUUAUUAUUGAAGUUAUAAUAUUAUGCUUUCUACCUUU
RNAcentral lists this long non-coding RNA (2790 nucleotides) under Helianthus annuus (common sunflower). Its description in RNAcentral is "hypothetical non coding rna". Lineage: Eukaryota; Viridiplantae; Streptophyta; Magnoliopsida; Asterales; Asteraceae. The record is from RNAcentral.